Molecule: long non-coding RNA, 1578 nt
Filed under: Oryzias sinensis (Chinese medaka)
Lineage: Eukaryota; Metazoa; Chordata; Actinopteri; Beloniformes; Adrianichthyidae
Description: lncRNA (ENSOSIG00000016942.1)
Source: RNAcentral
AUGAUUGAAAGGACGGCUUUUACCCCAACAUCUCCUCACAACAAGGCAGAUUCGAACGAUCCAAAGAGAAACUCCCAGGAAACAAACUAUGAGAAAGGUCCAAAAAUGAAGGAAACAACCUUUCCUGAAUCCACUGCAGCAACACUGUUAACCUUUCAGGGCUUCCACAGAGUAAGCACCUUAAGCUCCAGCGUCCACCAUCCAAGAACAUCAACUCAAGUUCCAAAAACUUCAUGGACAUUCAGGAACCAAAACAAGACAAAAGGACUCUAUGGGACAAACCCAACUGGUUCCCAGACGGCUGAAACAGAAGCAAGUUCUCAUUCAUCAUUUUUACACAAACCUCAUUCUUCAGUCUCAGCUCCAACUCCGGCCAACCGCCAGCCAACCGUUAGAACUUUACAUCAGCUUGAGACCAGCCCAACUGAACCCAAAAGUAGCUCAGAGAGAGCUAGUUGGCUCAAAACUAAAACAAUACCGAACACCUCAACUCAACCACGGUCUAGUUCCCCAAUCCAAACUCAGUCCUUCGUGACCUUUUACCCUCUUUAUCCUCCAAUCUUUACUCUGGACAAAGAUCUUGGGUCUCAAUCGAAGGUUAAAAGCUCAGAUGACCUCCAUUCAUCUCCCUCUUCCUUUCUACACACUUCUGUCCUUCAGUCAACAGAAACGAUGCAUUUACCUGCCUCUGGAAGUCCUACUCUGGUGUCCACACCUCCAUCUGUCAGACCAACACUGACCAUCCAUUUCUCCUCUUUAAAGAGCCAACCUGAAACUGUUCCAGCUCUUUCUGCCUUACCCAUUCCUUCCCCAGUCUCCUCGCUUGAUUUACCUCUAACCCAGCUUCCCUCCACCCCUCCACCACCAUCGUUCUACACAUCUCCAACUCCUCCUUUAAGCUCUCAAAACAGUCCAGCAACUGUAACAGUUAAAUCUGCAUUUACAGAUCCUGUCUGCUCCUCAUCUCUCAAAAGUCCCAACUCUUCCUCUCCCUCUGUUCCACCAUCAGCUACUCCCAGAUCGAUUACUUCCUCUGUUCCUCCACCUUCACGUUUAUCCAUUCCUCCAUCAACAUCCUCCUCCUCUAAAGAGCGUUUGUCUUUCACCUCCGUCACCCUGGCAGCUUCAGGGCUCAACCCAGCCACGUUAGGCACGAUUGUUCAUCCAAACCCCAAACCUUUUCCUAACCAUCGACUCAAUCAUGGCCACGACCUUCUGCCAGACGUUCCAAUCAUCAAUUCCAAACCCAAGCGUCCGUCCAAACCUCAGACCCCCGGUGAGGACGGGAAGUAUCCAGACAUCGUCCCGAAGCACACGGCCUGGGAGCUGGGCGUUCUGCUGGGAGGCUCGGCCGGUUUCGGUAUGGUGCUGGUGCUUGCCGUAAGGUGUUUGUACCGCCAGGCCUGCGGUAGACGGACCGAGGUCACGCUGAACGACAGGGAACGAGAAUACGGCCGAGGGGAGAUAGGCCUGAUCCAGGUCCAGGAAUGUGGGGAUUUGGUAAGAGUCCGGAAAAUCAGGGAGAACAGUUUUGUGUUUUUGACAGAGUACGACGUUCUUGCAACCUCUGGAAACUGA